CAGUCUGCGUGGAGCCGACCUUGAAAUACCACCCUUUAAUGUUUGAUGUUCUAACGUGGAUCCGUAAUCCGGGUUGCGGACAGUGUCUGGUGGGUAGUUUGACUGGGGCGGUCUCCUCCUAAAGAGUAACGGAGGAGCACGAAGGUUGGCUAAUCCUGGUCGGACAUCAGGAGGUUAGUGCAAUGGCAUAAGCCAGCUUGACUGCGAGCGUGACGGCGCGAGCAGGUGCGAAAGCAGGUCAUAGUGAUCCGGUGGUUCUGAAUGGAAGGGCCAUCGCUCAACGGAUAAAAGGUACUCCGGGGAUAACAGGCUGAUACCGCCCAAGAGUUCAUAUCGACGGCGGUGUUUGGCACCUCGAUGUCGGCUCAUCACAUCCUGGGGCUGAAGUAGGUCCCAAGGGUAUGGCUGUUCGCCAUUUAAAGUGGUACGCGAGCUGGGUUUAGAACGUCGUGAGACAGUUCGGUCCCUAUCUGCCGUGGGCGCUGGAGAACUGAGGGGGGCUGCUCCUAGUACGAGAGGACCGGAGUGGACGCAUCACUGGUGUUCGGGUUGUCAUGCCAAUGGCACUGCCCGGUAGCUAAAUGCGGAAGAGAUAAGUGCUGAAAGCAUCUAAGCACGAAACUUGCCCCGAGAUGAGUUCUCCCUGAGACUUAGAGUCUCCUGAAGGAACGUUGAAGACGACGACGUUGAUAGGCCGGGUGUGUAAGCGCAGCGAUGCGUUGAGCUAACCGGUACUAAUGAACCGUGAGGCUUAACCUU
RNAcentral lists this ribosomal RNA (759 nucleotides) under Salmonella enterica subsp. enterica serovar Infantis. RNAcentral describes it as "partial 23S ribosomal RNA". It matches the Rfam family "Bacterial large subunit ribosomal RNA", at positions 2172 to 2925 of the family's 2925-position model. Lineage: Bacteria; Pseudomonadati; Pseudomonadota; Gammaproteobacteria; Enterobacterales; Enterobacteriaceae. The record is from RNAcentral. RNAcentral also lists the same sequence under 1 other name.